Molecule: ribosomal RNA, 253 nt
Filed under: uncultured prokaryote
Description: partial 16S ribosomal RNA
Rfam family: Bacterial small subunit ribosomal RNA
Source: RNAcentral
ACGUAGGGAGCAAGCGUUGUUCGGAUUUACUGGGCGUAAAGGGCGCGUAGGCGGCCCCUUAAGCGUGUGGUGAAAGCGCGGGGCUCAACCCCGCGUCGGCCAUGCGGACUGGGGGGCUGGAGCAGACCAGAGGCAGGCGGAAUUCCGGGUGUAGCGGUGGAAUGCGUAGAGAUCCGGAAGAACACCGGUGGCGAAAGCGCUCUGCUGGGCCGCAACUGACACUAAUGGACGAAAGCUAGGGGAGCGAAUGGGA